UACGGGGGAUGCAAGCGUUAUCCGGAUUUAUUGGGUUUAAAGGGUGCGUAGGCUGUGAGGUAAGUCAGCGGUGAAAUGCCCCCGCUCAACGGGGUGAAGUGUCAUUGAUACUGCCUUGCUGGAAUGCGGAUGCCGUGGGAGGAAUGUGUGGUGUAGCGGUGAAAUGCAUAGAUAUCACACAGAACACCGAUUGCGAAGGCAUCUCACGAAUCCGCUAUUGACGCUGAUGCACGAAAGCGUGGGUAUCAAACAGG
Molecule: ribosomal RNA, 254 nt
Filed under: uncultured bacterium
Lineage: Bacteria
Description: partial 16S ribosomal RNA
Rfam family: Bacterial small subunit ribosomal RNA
Source: RNAcentral